CCUACGGGAGGCUGCAGUAGGGAAUCUUCGGCAAUGGGCGAAAGCCUGACCGAGCAACGCCGCGUGAAUGAAGAAGGCCUUCGGGUUGUAAAAUUCUGUUAUAAGGGAAGAAAGGUGAUAGGAGGAAAUGACUAUCAAUUGACGGUACCUUAUGAGAAAGCCACGGCUAACUACGUGCCAGCAGCCGCGGUAAUACGUAGGUGGCAAGCGUUAUCCGGAAUUACUGGGUGUAAAGGGAGCGUAGACGGUAAUGUAAGUCUGGAGUGAAAGGCGGGGGCCCAACCCCCGGACUGCUCUGGAAACUAUGUUACUAGAGUGCAGGAGAGGUAAGCGGAAUUCCUAGUGUAGCGGUGAAAUGCGUAGAUAUUAGGAGGAACACCAGUGGCGAAGGCGGCUUACUGGACUGUAACUGACGUUGAGGCUCGAAAGCGUGGGGAGCAAACAGGAUUAGAUACCCUUGUAGUC
RNAcentral lists this ribosomal RNA (465 nucleotides) under Escherichia coli. RNAcentral's name for it is "bacterial SSU rRNA". It matches the Rfam family "Bacterial small subunit ribosomal RNA", at positions 338 to 795 of the family's 1533-position model. Lineage: Bacteria; Pseudomonadati; Pseudomonadota; Gammaproteobacteria; Enterobacterales; Enterobacteriaceae. The record is from RNAcentral.